CACACACACACGCACACACACAAACAAAGAGGCGUUAGGCUGAGACGCUGAAAGUCCGGAUUUAAAGUGCAGAAAAUGAAGCCAUUGAAUCUGCCUGUCCAUGACGUACAAAGACACACUAUGAGCCAGUAUGAUCCGACCAGACCUUACAUCAGCAUUGAGGAGUUGUCGGAGAAGAAAGAGGCUGAUUGAAGCGGGACAGAUGACAUGGAUCCAUCCUUCCACAGCCAGGAGUGCACCGACCUGUGUCCCACACUUCAUAUAAGACUGGAAGCUACACUGAUCUCACAGCUACACACCACAGACGUCUACACACUGGAGAAGAGUCCCACAAAGAAGUCAUGACCCAGAGGCUGCAGAGAAACAUUUCAAGCCUCAUCUGAGUUUUUGUACAAUAUUUUUGCUGUAUGUAAAUAAAGCUUUCACUCCACAUA
Molecule: long non-coding RNA, 434 nt
Organism: Limanda limanda (common dab)
Lineage: Eukaryota; Metazoa; Chordata; Actinopteri; Pleuronectiformes; Pleuronectidae
Exons: 3
Source: RefSeq, a predicted model, not a curated record